GCCGAGGUGGCGGAAUUGGCAGACGCGCAUGGUUGAGGUCCAUGUGGGUUCUAGCCCGUGCGGGUUCAAGUCCCGCCCUCGGCA
This 84-nucleotide transfer RNA is filed under the name Pseudothermotoga thermarum DSM 5069. RNAcentral describes it as "Thermotoga thermarum DSM 5069 tRNA". It matches the Rfam family "tRNA". Rfam says of the family: Transfer RNA (tRNA) molecules are approximately 80 nucleotides in length. Lineage: Bacteria; Thermotogati; Thermotogota; Thermotogae; Thermotogales; Thermotogaceae. The record is from Rfam by way of RNAcentral.